GGCCCUAUCGUCUAGCGGCUAGGACGCGGCCCUUUCACGGCCGAAACCCGGGUUCGAUUCCCGGUAGGGUCAUCA
This 75-nucleotide transfer RNA is filed under the name Parcubacteria group bacterium CG2_30_48_51. RNAcentral's name for it is "tRNA-Glu". It matches the Rfam family "tRNA". Rfam says of the family: Transfer RNA (tRNA) molecules are approximately 80 nucleotides in length. Their secondary structure includes four short double-helical elements and three loops (D, anti-codon, and T loops). The record is from RNAcentral. RNAcentral also lists the same sequence under 5 other names.